This 524-nucleotide ribosomal RNA is filed under the name uncultured bacterium. RNAcentral's name for it is "bacterial SSU rRNA". It matches the Rfam family "Bacterial small subunit ribosomal RNA", at positions 355 to 896 of the family's 1533-position model. The record is from RNAcentral.
UGGGGAAUAUUGGACAAUGGACCAAGAGUCUGAUCCAGCAAUUCUGUGUGCACGAUGACGUUUUUCGGAAUGUAAAGUGCUUUCAGUUGGGAAGAAAAAAAUGACGGUACCAACAGAAGAAGUGACGGCUAAAUACGUGCCAGCAGCCGCGGUAAUACGUAUGUCACGAGCGUUAUCCGGAUUUAUUGGGCGUAAAGCGCGUCUAGGUGGUUAUGUAAGUCUGAUGUGAAAAUGCAGGGCUCAACUCUGUAUUGCGUUGGAAACUGUGUAACUAGAGUACUGGAGAGGUAAGCGGAACUACAAGUGUAGGGGUGAAAUUCGUAGAUAUUUGUAGGAAUGCCGAUGGGGAAGCCAGCUUACUGGACAGAUACUGACGCUGAAGCGCGAAAGCGUGGGUAGCAAACAGGAUUAGAUACCCUGGUAGUCCACGCCGUAAACGAUGAUUACUAGGUGUUGGGGGUCGAACCUCAGCGCCCAAGCAAACGCGAUAAGUAAUCCGCCUGGGGAGUACGUACGCAAGUAUG